UUGCAACUGCCCUCUUCUGGUCCAUGUUUGUUACGGCUCAAACUGAGCUUUCGCUCGCCGUCCACCACUGUUGUUUGCCGCCUUCGCAGACCCGCCGCUGACACCCAUCCCUCUGAAUCCGGCAGGGUGUCUGCUGUGCUCCUGAUCCAGUGAGGCGCCCAUUGCCACUCCCGAUUGGGCUAAAGGCUUGCCAUUGUUCCUGCAUGGCUAAGUGCCUGGGUUCGUCCUAAUCGAGCUGAACACUAGUCACUGGGUUCCAUGGUUCUCUUCCGUGACCCACGACUUCUAAUAGAGCUAUAACACUCACCGCAUGGCCCAAGAUUCCAUUCCUUGGAAUCUGUGAGGCCAAGAACCCCAGGUCAGAGAACACGGGGCUUGCCACCAUCUUGGAAGUGGCCCGCCGCCAUUUUGGAAGUGGCCCACCACCAUCUUGGGAGCUCUGUGAGCAAGGACCCCCCGGUAACAUUUUGGCGACCACGAAGGGACCUCCAAAGCGCCUCCAUCAGAGAGCUCCAUCCAGACCUAGACUUGGACAAUAGGCAGUUGUUUGCUUGCCUCUGGCUCUGCUCACUCUCCAUGGGGGUCUAUAGCUGGUGAUCAUCUUGUAUACCUAAUUCUGGCUUCAUCUUCAGACUCGGACAGGAUUUGAGGUACUGAUAUUUUGGUCUGGAGAGCAUUAUUUUGACCUCAUCAAAAAGAGUGAACUGCUUAGUUUGUUAGCUGGCAUAGACUAUAAUUCUGAGCCAGAGGUCACAGGUUGGGAGGGGAAAAUGUAUCUUUUGUUUUAUUUUUAACCAUCAGAUUUGCUCUGUUUCUGGCAAUAUGACAUGCAUUGAAUACAAAUUGUUUUAUUCAACUUAGACCACGGGGCUUAUAUUUCAUUGUCUGUUCUCUCAUUAUUUGCAAUAGAGUAUAUGUCAGUUUUAGUUUUCAGUAUUGAUAAGGAAUUUUUGCUUUUGCAUCAUAGAUAUGUUUUGUCACUGGUGAAGAGAUGCCAUUGUAAACCAGAAACCACAGCAACUGUUUUUUUUUUCAAGGAUGAUCAUGUUAAUAAUGGCCAUUUAUUAAGCAUGUGUUAUAUUCUAGGCAUGGUGCCUUACUUGUAAACAUCAAUAUUAAUUUGAUGUUUUCCUUUCAUUUAAUGGACCUGUGGACAUAUUUUUGCCUGAUUCUUAUCUAAGCAAUUGAAUUACCUCAUUUUAUGCACACUGAAUUGAUAUGUUAUCACCCUGUUCUUUUGUCCCAUACUGGAAAGACAAGAGCUUACUCAUAGCAAGUUUAUCAGACCGAUGGUGUGCCCUUUUGGAUUAAUCUCAACAGUGAUUUCAUUUCAUGCCACUAUUUUUAUUUAUGUUGUAUUUUUGUUGAUGUCAUUUUUAGCCUAUUAAAUCUGCUGUAAAUACUUUUUUAUAGUAUAUGAGUAGUAUAAAGUAUCUAAGUAGUAACAAGGUGAAAUAUUAAUAAACAAGUUCAGGUUCUUACAUCUUCCUCCAAAAAAGAAUAUUGAAUCUGAAAGACAUGAGACUGCAUUUUAUAUUUGGCUACAAUAAACCUUGUGAUCUAUAAAGCUCUGAAGACUGCAUGGCUUAAACUUUUGCUUUUAGCUGAUUUUUACAUAUUUCCUUAGGUGCUAAGUGUCCCAGAUGUCAGAGAUGACACCAGGCAUUGUAAACUCUUUGUCCCCAGAAAGCUUCCCUUCCCCUUUCCCUCUUUCUCCUCACUGGGGACAUCAAUGGCAAGCGGCAAGUACAUGAAAUGGUAUUGGGCCAGGCAGCCAUGCCCAGCUUGAGCUCUGGCCCUUGCUAGCACCUCAAGCUUGGGCUAGUCCCUGAGCUUUGCUGAGCCUCUGUGUAGGAAGUGAUCACACAUGGAUGCCAGAGAGGUCAUCAGGUUUUAUGAAUUUGAAUACAUAAAAUUACUAUGUCACAUUCCUGAAACAUCCUAGGUCCCUAAUAAUAGACAGACAUUGCUACUAUGUGUGUGUGCUUUGUCCUCUUUGAUGCCUCCCUAGGGGUUAGCAUAGGGUUCUCUUGGGGCAUUCAUUGCAGUUUUCCAUUUACACCUGUGCUUCCUAUGCUCUGAAUCCUAUAUUCUGACCUCCUCUCCUCUUUUCCCACAUUUUGUUAGGGU
RNAcentral lists this long non-coding RNA (2130 nucleotides) under Homo sapiens (human). RNAcentral describes it as "HSALNT0335561". Lineage: Eukaryota; Metazoa; Chordata; Mammalia; Primates; Hominidae. The record is from RNAcentral.